UUGUCCCGUGCCUUUCUCUGCUCCCCUGUGCCCAGUCUUGUAGACUGGCAGGACACACAACAGUUUCCCUGUCACUUUAGGAGGCCUGUCCUAAGAAGAGGGCUAGCUCUUAAAGGCACGAGAGGACAAU
This is a non-coding RNA of Phodopus roborovskii (desert hamster), 130 nucleotides long. RefSeq annotates it as small Cajal body-specific RNA 11. The transcript has a single exon. The record is from RefSeq and is a predicted model, not a curated record. Lineage: Eukaryota; Metazoa; Chordata; Mammalia; Rodentia; Cricetidae.